ACGUAGGGAGCCAGCGUUGUCCGGAUUUACUGGGUGUAAAGGGCGCGUAGGCGGACCGGUCAGUCAGAGGUGAAAUCCCGCAGCUUAACUGCGGAGCUGCCUUUGAUACUGCCGGCCUUGAGUUCAGAAGAGAGAGAUGGAAUUCCAGGUGUAGUGGUGAAAUACGUAGAUAUCUGGAAGAACACCAGUGGCGAAGGCGAUCUCUUGGUCUGUAACUGACGCUGAGGCGCGAAAGCGUGGGUAGCAAACAG
RNAcentral lists this ribosomal RNA (251 nucleotides) under uncultured prokaryote. RNAcentral's name for it is "partial 16S rRNA". It matches the Rfam family "Bacterial small subunit ribosomal RNA", at positions 525 to 775 of the family's 1533-position model. The record is from RNAcentral.